UCUCUGGUGGUCCCGUGGCUAAGACUCUGAGCUCCCAAUGCAGGGAUCCAGGUUUGAUUCCUGGUCAGGGAA
RNAcentral lists this transfer RNA (72 nucleotides) under Bos taurus (domestic cattle). It matches the Rfam family "tRNA". Rfam says of the family: Transfer RNA (tRNA) molecules are approximately 80 nucleotides in length. Their secondary structure includes four short double-helical elements and three loops (D, anti-codon, and T loops). The record is from Rfam by way of RNAcentral. RNAcentral also lists the same sequence under 4 other names. Lineage: Eukaryota; Metazoa; Chordata; Mammalia; Artiodactyla; Bovidae.